GGGAUGGGGUGGGGCUGGGGGGCAGGGCCAGGGUUAAAAGGUUUCAUUGUCCUCUUGACUAAAGUCCUGUUGCCUAAAGCUUAAAUUCUUUUUUGUCGCCCCGACCCUCCCAUAUGGGUCCCUGGUGACUUUCAUUUGCCCCCUGGUGGCCCUUUUGGGAAGGACGGGAGUGUGUCUUUUUCCCGCCAUUUCUGCAGUGUGAUCUCUUCCGUCUACUACCGGCUCCUUAACCGGGAAUGCUUCUUUGUUCACAGCCCCCCCCCCCCCUCACACCACCAGCCCUGCCCGCACACCUGAACCACAGGCAAAAAAACCCACCUGGUUCCCAGAGACACACGCAGCUGCACCGCCUCCAAAGACCACAGCUGCUCCUCAGCCAACCAAUCAGCUCUGGACUCAGCACAGCUCAGCCAAUGCAGAGGAAGGCUGACGUUAAUUUGAACUGUGCAGCUCUUGUAAUAUACAGUACGCAUUUUCUACUUCUCCUGCAACCCUCCGUUGGAUAUACAGCCAUGCGCUUACUUUUCAGUCAGAAGUAAAUGAAUAAAUACAUAAAUACGUACGUAAGUAAAUAAGCAGAGGAGGCGUGUUUCUGGCCCCGUCCGCGGCUGAAUGUGGUCGGGACGCUGGCAUCUCGUUUCGUGGAGAGGAAUGAACGGGCAACAAUGUUGGAAUAACGUUGGGAUAACGCUGGAAUAACACACUACCCUAUUGACCUGCUUCUGGCUUUCCCCCCCCCCAAUAACGCUCCCCCCACCCCCACCUAUAACCCUGACAACGCACUGAAGAGAACACUGGCAUAACGUUGAAAUAAUGUUGUAAUAACGCUAGGAUAACGCAGCAUCCUCUCCUGCCCCCCCCCCAUGUCAGUACCGCUGUGCAGCGGAAAGGCCACGUGUUAUUUUUACAAACGUCCAAUUUCAGGCUCGUCUCAAAUGAGAUGCAAACGGACGCCGUGCUGACUCAGCCGCACGGACAAGGGCAGUGGGGGGGACAAACGGAGCGCGUUCUCACCCAUCCCAGGACGGCCUGAGUGUUUGCACCCCCCCGUGUCCGCCGACGCUGGGCCGACGCUGGCCCGACGCUGGGCCUCCUGUGUGUUAUUAAAAAUGCAGUGUGUGUCACUUAUUUAUAUCGGCUUUGUGAAACGAUGCUGUCCUUGGCAACAGGUGACUCAGGACGCCUGAAUCAUAUUUUAAGAAUAAAAGAAUGAGUCUCGAUUUUGGGUUCUUUUUAAAAAAAAAAAAAAUUCUCUGCAUUUGUUGGACAGUAAGUAGGGCCAGAUGAAGACACAAGAGUGUAAAAUACUGCCCCCCCAGCCUCGAGGAGCUGAUUUACAGAUAAACACAGUGAUUGUAUUUUUUUUUUGCACAAGGACAUUCGGGGGUUUGUGGUCCAAAGCAAAAUAAAUACACUCCAAGGGACUCCAAAGCAGCUCGCCCAGAGAUGUUAUUACCCAGUUACUUAAAAAUUUUCUCUUUGAAACCAUUUCCAUGAGUAACUUAAUACUGGCACAAUAUAAAAACUGAUACUUUAUGUUUGCAUUUUGCGAAGUAGUGCUGCCAUAAUGCAAAAUGUUGCUUUGGAGUUACUUGAAAUGUAUUUUCUUGCUUCAGACUAUGAAGACUCCUCGAUACUCCUAUAAAACUGUAAAACUAAAAAACACAUGCGUCACUCCUUUCCCCUUAAACUAUGCUUAACGCUGCUGUUAAAAAAAAAUAGAUAUUCCCUCAAUAAAAACGAGAAAAAAUAAAUAUCCCAAAACAGAAUCACAGGCAUUCUGUUCCAGUGAUUAAAAACUAAAUUAUCGUUU
Anguilla rostrata (American eel) is the source of this 1813-nucleotide long non-coding RNA. RefSeq lists it as uncharacterized. The transcript has 2 exons. The record is from RefSeq and is a predicted model, not a curated record. NCBI's taxonomy places the organism in Eukaryota, Metazoa, Chordata, Actinopteri, Anguilliformes, Anguillidae.